UCAAGUUACUAAGGGCAGACGGUGGAUGCCUUGGCAGCAGGAGGCGAUGAAGGGCGUGGCUACCUGCGAUAAGCUCCGGGGAGCUGGAAGCAAGCUUUGAUCCGGAGAUGCCCGAAUGGGAAAACCCAUCUGGCUUAAUAGCCAGGUAUCUACAGCUGAAUACAUAGGCUGUAGAGGCGAACGGGGGGAAGUGAAACAUCUCAGUACCCCUAGGAAAAGAAAGUAAAAACGAUUCCCUGAGUAGCGGCGAGCGAAAGGGGAACAGCCCAAACCAGGUAGGUGUUAAAGCUUGCGGGCGUUGCUUAUCUGGGGUAGUGGGGCCUUACUGGGCGAGGCCGCAAACUCGCCGGGAAGUUACAAAUCUGCACUCUAGCCGAACAGGUUGGAAAACCUGGCCAUAGAGAGUGAUAGCCUCGUAGGCGAAAGGGUAGCAGACUUCCUGAGUAAGGUUCCCAAGUACUGUGGGACACGAGAAAUCCCGCAGGAAUCUGGGAGGACCAUCUCCUAAGGCUAAAUACUCCCUGCUGACCGAUAGCGAACCAGUACCGUGAGGGAAAGGUGAAAAGAACCCCGGGAGGGGAGUGAAAUAGAACCUGAAACCGUCUGCCUACAAGCUGUGGAAGGGCUAUGCCUCUUCGGAGGCACUGCCUGACCGCGUGCCUUUUGUAUAAUGAGCCAGCGAGUUACUCUUGGCGGCAAGGUUAAGCCGUGAGGCGGAGCCGUAGCGAAAGCGAGUCUUAACAGGGCGUUUAGUCGUCAGGAGUAGACCCGAAGCCAGGUGAUCUAUCCAUGGCCAGGGUGAAGUCCGGGUAACGCCGGAUGGAGGCCCGCACCGGUUGGGGUUGAAAACCCAUCGGAUGAGCUGUGGAUAGGAGUGAAAGGCUAAUCAAACCUGGUGAUAGCUGGUUCUCCCCGAAAUAUAUUUAAGUAUAGCCUCACGUGUUGGAUGGCGGUGGUAGAGCACUGGUUGGGCUAGGGGUCUUAACCGGCUACCAAACCCAUCUAAACUCCGAAUGCCGCUAUUCCUAGCGUGGGAGUCAGCUUGUGGGUGAUAAAGUCCACAGACGAGAGGGAAACAACCCAGACCGCCAGCUAAGGUCCCAAAGUGUGUGCUAAGUGGAGAAGGAUGUGGAAUCGCUAAGACAGCCAGGAGGUUGGCUUAGAAGCAGCCAUCCUUUAAAGAAAGCGUAACAGCUCACUGGUCGAGUGGCUCUGCGCCGAAAAUAUAACGGGGCUUAAGCACACCACCGAAGCUGCGGGUUCAGAGAAAAUAUUGUUUUCUCUGAGCGGUAGGGGAGCGUUCCAGUGGCCUGUGAAGCCUGACCGAAAGGACUGGUGGAGGUGCUGGAAGUGAUAAUGCUGGCAUGAGUAACGAUAAAGGGAGUGAGAAUCUCCCUCGCCGUAAGCCUAAGGUUUCCUGGGUAAAGCUCGUCUGCCCAGGGUUAGGCGGUUCCUAAGCCAAGGCCGAAAGGCGUAGGUGAUGGAAAGCAGGUUAAUAUUCCUGCCCCACCAGAGUGGCGUUAUUACUGAUGAGGGGACGCAGGAAGGUAGCCCAGCCGGGUGUUGGAUGUCCUGGUUUAAGGUAGUAGGCGGGGAGGAUAGGCAAAUCCGUCCUCUCAUUAACAACGCCGAGAGCCGAGUACGAGGCCUUCGGGCCACAAAGUGGGUGAGCCUACACUGCCAAGAAAAGCCUCUAGGGAGUCACUCUGGUGACCGUACCGCAAACCGACACAGGUAGGCGGGGAUAAGUAUCCCAAGGCGCUCGGGAGAACCCUGGUCAAGGAACUCGGCAAAUUGGCACCGUAACUUCGGGAGAAGGUGUGCCCUGUUAGGGUGAAGGGACUUGCUCCUGGAGCCCGAGGGGGUUGCAGCGAAGAGGCGGUGGCGACUGUUUACUAAAAACACAGGACUCUGCUAAGUCGUAAGACGAUGUAUAGGGUCUGACGCCUGCCCGGUGCCGGAAGGUGAAGGGGAAGGGUUAGCUUCCUUGGAGGCGAGGCUCUGAACCGAAGCCCCGGUAAACGGCGGCCGUAACUAUAACGGUCCUAAGGUAGCGAAAUUCCUUGUCGGGUAAGUUCCGACCUGCAUGAAUGGCGUAACGAUCGCCGCGCUGUCUCGACCAGGGACCCGGUGAAAUUGUAGUGGUCGCGAAGAUGCGAUCUACCCGCGGCCAGACGGAAAGACCCCGUGCACCUUAACUAUAGCCUAACAUUGGAUUUUGGGCUAUGAUGUGUAGGAUAGGUGGGAGGCUAGGAAGCGGGGACGCCAGUCUCCGUGGAGCCAUCCUUGAAAUACCACCCUUCAUAGCUUAGAGUCCUAACCUUGAGCCGUAAUCCGGUUCAGGGACAGUGUUAGGUGGGUAGUUUGACUGGGGCGGUCGCCUCCUAAAAGGUAACGGAGGCGCGCAAAGGUCUCCUCAGGCGGAUUGGAAACCCGCCGUUGAGUGUAAAGGCAUAAGGAGGCUUGACUGUGAGGCCCACAAGCCGAGCAGGUGCGAAAGCAGGCCUUAGUGAUCCGGCGGUUCCGUAUGGAAGGGCCGUCGCUCAUCGGAUAAAAGGUACGCCGGGGAUAACAGGCUUAUCUCCCCCAAGAGUCCACAUCGACGGGGAGGUUUGGCACCUCGAUGUCGGCUCAUCCCAUCCUGGGGCUGGAGAAGGUCCCAAGGGUCGGGCUGUUCGCCCGUUAAAGGGGUACGUGAGCUGGGUUUAAAACGUCGCGAGACAGUUUGGUCCCUAUCUGCCGCGGGCGCAGGAGACUUGAAGGGAGCCCUCUCUAGUACGAGAGGACCGAGAGGGACGUACCUCUGGUGUUCCGGUUGUUCCGCCAGGAGCAGUGCCGGGUAGCUAUGUACGGACGGGAUAACCGCUGAAGGCAUCUAAGCGGGAAGCCCACCCUAAGAUGAGGUCUCCCGUGAUAGUCCGACCUGCCUGUCGUCAGGCAAGAAGGGCUAUCCCUGAAGGCCCCUCGGAGACUACGAGGUUGAUAGGCCGGAGGUGGAAGCUCAGCAAUGGGUGAAGCUGACCGGUACUAAUCGGCCGUGUGACUUGGC
This 3049-nucleotide ribosomal RNA is filed under the name Candidatus Methanoperedentaceae archaeon GB37. RNAcentral describes it as "Candidatus Methanoperedenaceae archaeon GB37 23S ribosomal RNA". It matches the Rfam family "Bacterial large subunit ribosomal RNA". Lineage: Archaea; Methanobacteriati; Methanobacteriota; Methanomicrobia; Methanosarcinales; Candidatus Methanoperedentaceae. The record is from RNAcentral.